Molecule: ribosomal RNA, 253 nt
Filed under: uncultured bacterium
Lineage: Bacteria
Description: partial 16S ribosomal RNA
Rfam family: Bacterial small subunit ribosomal RNA
Source: RNAcentral
UACGUAGGGUGCGAGCGUUAAUCGGAAUUACUGGGCGUAAAGCGUGCGCAGGCGGCUUUGCAAGACAGAUGUGAAAUCCCCGGGCUCAACCCGGGAACUGCAUUUGUGACUGCAAGGCUAGAGUACGGCAGAGGGGGAUGGAAUUCCGCGUGUAGCAGUGAAAUGCGUAGAUAUGCGGAGGAACACCAAUGGCGAAGGCAAUCCCCUGGGGCUGUACUGACGCUCAUGCACGAAAGCGUGGGGAGCAAACAGG